This 301-nucleotide ribosomal RNA is filed under the name uncultured bacterium. RNAcentral's name for it is "partial 16S ribosomal RNA". It matches the Rfam family "Bacterial small subunit ribosomal RNA", at positions 509 to 807 of the family's 1533-position model. The record is from RNAcentral.
CAGCCGCCACGGUAAAACGUAGGGUGCGAGCGUUAACCGGAAUUACUGGGCGUAAAGCGUGCGCAGGCGGCUUUGCAAGACAGAUGUGAAAUCCCCGGGCUCAACCUGGGAACUGCAUUUGUGACUGCAAGGCUAGAGUGCGGCAGAGGGAGAUGGAAUUCCGCGUGUAGCAGUGAAAUGCGUAGAUAUGCGGAGGAACACCGAUGGCGAAGGCAAUCUCCUGGGCCUGCACUGACGCUCAUGCACGAAAGCGUGGGGAGCAAACAGGAUUAGAUACCCGCGUAGUCCCUGUCUCUUAUAC